GAAGACUCCAAAUCAUCUAGAAUGUAAAGACAGUCAGUGCUUCUACUGUGUUUGGGAUCUCAUCAGAGAAGUGAAAUAUGUAUACUAACAAGAGCGAACUAGACAGAAACCAACUGAUCUCUCCUGAAACUCUUUAGAAACAUCAGCAUCUGCUUCAUUAAGUGGGAGUAGCUGCAUCUGGUCAAUUUAUUCACAUGAAGGCCUAUGAAUGGAAUUUCCAGAACUGUCCUUCUGCCACAUCAAGAAUGAAUUAUUUAUAUACCUACUGAAACAACUGAGGAGAAACCUACAAAAAUAAAUUUGGACUUAUGUUGCAUACCUUAUAUCAAGAUAAGUUCCCAAUGAUUUAAUUAUUUAAAAUAAAAUUUAUCAAGG
Molecule: long non-coding RNA, 375 nt
Filed under: Equus caballus (horse)
Lineage: Eukaryota; Metazoa; Chordata; Mammalia; Perissodactyla; Equidae
Description: lncRNA (ENSECAG00000054072.1)
Source: RNAcentral